Molecule: transfer RNA, 22 nt
Filed under: Homalium cochinchinense
Lineage: Eukaryota; Viridiplantae; Streptophyta; Magnoliopsida; Malpighiales; Salicaceae
Description: tRNA-Pro
Source: RNAcentral
GGGUUCAAUCCUGUCAUCCCUA